Molecule: long non-coding RNA, 803 nt
Organism: Oncorhynchus keta (chum salmon)
Lineage: Eukaryota; Metazoa; Chordata; Actinopteri; Salmoniformes; Salmonidae
Exons: 4
Source: RefSeq, a predicted model, not a curated record
AUAGAUUACAGGUUAUAGGUUAUAGGUUAUAGGUUAUAGGUUAUAGGUUACAGGUUAUAGGUUAUAGGUUAUAGGUUACAGGUUAUAGGUUAUAGGUUAUAGGUUAUAGGUUAUAGGUUAUAGGUUAUAGGUUAUAGGUUAUAGGUUAUAGAUUACAGGUUAUAGGUUAUAGGUUAUAGGUUAUAGGUUAUAGGUUAUAGAUUACAGGUUAUAGGUUAUAGGUUAUAGGUUAUAGGUUACAGGUUAUAGAUUACAGGUUAUAGGUUAUAGGUUAUAGGUUAUAGGUUAUAGGUUAUAGGUUAUAGGUUACAGGUUACAGGUUAUAGGUUAUAGGUUAUAGGUUAUAGGUUACAGGUUAUAGGUUAUAGGUUAUAGGUUAUAGGUUAUAGGUUAUAGGUUAUAGGUUAUAGGUUAUAGGUUAUAGGUUACAGGUUAUAGGUUAUAGGUUAUAGGUUAUAGAUUACAGGUUAUAGGUUAUAGGUUAUAGGUUAUAGGUUACAGGUUAUAGGUUAUAGAUUACAGGUUAUAGGUUAUAGGUUAUAGGUUAUAGGUUAUAGAUUAUAGGUUAUAGGUUAUAGAUUACAGGUUAUAGGUUAUAGGUUAUAGGUUAUAGGUUACAGGUUACAGGUUAUAGGUUAUAGGUUAUAGGUUAUAGGUUAUAGGUUACAGGUUAUAGGUUAUAGGUUAUAGGUUAUAGGUUACAGGUUACAGGUUACAGGUUAUAGGUUAUAGGUUAUAGGUUAUAGGUUAUAGGUUAUACAUUCUUUGUUGUUGGUACUGAGUUUGUGUCAUGUAUUGCAAAG